AGAGUUUGAUCCUGGCUCAGGAUGAACGCUAGCGGCGUGCCUAACACAUGCAAGUCGAACGUGAAGGGAUACUUGUAUUCCUGAAAGUGGCGGACGGGUGAGUAAGACGUAGGUGACCUGCCUUGAAGUGGGGGAUAACCAUUGGAAACGAUGGCUAAUACCGCAUAAGCUGGUGAUGAUGGGAAUCGUUAUCAGGAAAGCUUUUAGUGCUUUUGAGAGGGGCCUACGGCCGAUUAGCUAGUUGGUGAGGUAAAGGCUCACCAAGGCGAUGAUCGGUAGCUGGUCUGAGAGGACGAUCAGCCACACGGGAACUGAGACACGGUCCCGACUCCUACGGGGGGCAGCAGUGAGGAAUAUUCGGCAAUGGGGGCAACCCUGACCGAGCAACGCCGCGUGGAGGAUGACGGUUUUCGGAGUUGUAAACUCCUUUUCUCAGGGAAGAGCGAGGACGGUACCUGAGGAAUAAGUCACGGCUAACUACGUGCCAGCAGCCGCGGUAAUACGUAGGUGGC
This 512-nucleotide ribosomal RNA is filed under the name uncultured bacterium. RNAcentral's name for it is "bacterial SSU rRNA". It matches the Rfam family "Bacterial small subunit ribosomal RNA", at positions 8 to 535 of the family's 1533-position model. The record is from RNAcentral.